UAUGGCUCAGGACGAACGCUGGCGGCGUGCCUAACACAUGCAAGUCGAACGGAGUGUUUCGCUGAAAUGAGAUUAGCUUGCUAAAGGAAUUUCUUGAAGCACUUAGUGGCGGACGGGUGAGUAACGCGUGAGCAACCUGCCUUACAGAGGGGGACAACAGUUGGAAACGACUGCUAAUACCGCAUAACGUGGAAGGGAGACAUCUUCUUUUCACCAAAGGAGCGAUCCGCUGUAAGAUGGGCUCGCGUCCGAUUAGAUAGUAGGCGGGGUAACGGCCCACCUAGUCGACGAUCGGUAGCCGGACUGAGAGGUUGAACGGCCACAUUGGGACUGAGACACGGCCCAGACUCCUACGGGAGGCAGCAGUGGGGGAUAUUGCACAAUGGAGGAAACUCUGAUGCAGCAACGCCGCGUGAGGGAAGAAGGUUUUCGGAUUGUAAACCUCUGUUUUUAGUGAAGAAACAAAUGACGGUAGCUAAAGAGGAAGCCACGGCUAACUACAUGCCAGCAGCCGCGGUAAUACGUAGGUGGCAAGCGUUGUCCGGAAUUACUGGGUGUAAAGGGUGCGCAGGCGGGACUGCAAGUUGGAUGUGAAAUACCGGGGCUUAACCCCGGGGCUGCAUCCAAAACUGUGGUUCUUGAGUGGAGUAGAGGUAAGCGGAAUUCCGAGUGUAGCGGUGAAAUGCGUAGAUAUUCGGAGGAACACCAGUGGCGAAGGCGGCUUACUGGGCUCUAACUGACGCUGAGGCACGAAAGCAUGGGUAGCAAACAGGAUUAGAUACCCUGGUAGUCCAUGCUGUAAACGAUGAAUGCUAGGUGUGGGGGGACUAACCCCUUCCGUGCCGGAGUUAACACAAUAAGCAUUCCACCUGGGGAGUACGACCGCAAGGUUGCAACUCAAAUGAA
This 906-nucleotide ribosomal RNA is filed under the name uncultured Bacillota bacterium. Its description in RNAcentral is "bacterial SSU rRNA". It matches the Rfam family "Bacterial small subunit ribosomal RNA", at positions 18 to 909 of the family's 1533-position model. Lineage: Bacteria; Bacillati; Bacillota. The record is from RNAcentral.